CUUGUGGCCAAUGUCAUGGUCUGCGGUCUCGUUCAAAUUACAAACUAGUAUAGAGGAGCUAAAGCUAAGAUUUUGCUGUUUGGAGAUGAGCGCAAGGCAGCAGCUGAUGAACGCCUUUGUUUGGUUGAUAGAAGCAUUACUUCGGAAGAAGACUCAUUGGGUCUAUUGUUGUACAAACAGCUCGUUGAAGAGGCUGAUGCCGCUUAGUAAGCCCUGGCCUAACUGUACUGACCUGCAAUUUGGCGGUGGAUCAAGAGCUACCUCUGUCAGUUCUCGUUGAAUUCUGGUUAAUAAAUAAAAAAUAAACAAAUUUAAAA
This is a long non-coding RNA of Actinia tenebrosa (Australian red waratah sea anemone), 317 nucleotides long. RefSeq lists it as uncharacterized. NCBI's taxonomy places the organism in Eukaryota, Metazoa, Cnidaria, Anthozoa, Actiniaria, Actiniidae. The record is from RefSeq and is a predicted model, not a curated record.